RNAcentral lists this ribosomal RNA (491 nucleotides) under uncultured bacterium. RNAcentral describes it as "partial 16S ribosomal RNA". It matches the Rfam family "Bacterial small subunit ribosomal RNA", at positions 29 to 506 of the family's 1533-position model. The record is from RNAcentral.
AGUGAACGCUGGCGGUAGGCCUAACACAUGCAAGUCGAACGGCAGCACAGUAAGAGCUUGCUCUUACGGGUGGCGAGUGGCGGACGGGUGAGGAAUACAUCGGAAUCUACUUUUUCGUGGGGGAUAACGUAGGGAAACUUACGCUAAUACCGCAUACGACCUACGGGUGAAAGCAGGGGAUCUUCGGACCUUGCGCGAUUGAAUGAGCCGAUGUCGGAUUAGCUAGUUGGCGGGGUAAAGGCCCACCAAGGCGACGAUCCGUAGCUGGUCUGAGAGAAUGAUCAGCCACACUGGAACUGAGACACGGUCCAGACUCCUACGGGAGGCAGCAGUGGGGAAUAUUGGACAAUGGGCGCAAGCCUGAUCCAGCCAUACCGCGUGGGUGAAGAAGGCCUUCGGGUUGUAAAGCCCUUUUGUUGGGAAAGAAAAGCAGCAGGUUAAGACCCCGCUGUUCGGACGGUACCCAAAGAAUAAGCACCGGCUAACUUCGU